RNAcentral lists this ribosomal RNA (790 nucleotides) under Curculionoidea sp. 3 KM-2017. Its description in RNAcentral is "partial 16S ribosomal RNA". The stretch from base 544 to 702 matches the Rfam family "Bacterial large subunit ribosomal RNA", at positions 2473 to 2632 of the family's 2925-position model. Lineage: Eukaryota; Metazoa; Arthropoda; Insecta; Coleoptera. The record is from RNAcentral.
AUAUAUUGAUUUAUAUUUUUUAUUAAAAUUUAAUUUUUAAUAUUUAAAAAUUAGUAAUAAUGAUUAAAUUAGUAAAAUUUUAUAUUUUAAAUAUUUUAUAUUUUUUAGGUUAUCUUAAGGAACUCGGCAAAUAUAUUUUUCACCUGUUUAUUAAAAACAUGGCUUUUUGAUAAUAAUUUAAAGUCUAACCUGCCCAAUGAUUUAUUUAAAUGGCCGCGGUAUUUUGACCGUGCAAAGGUAGCAUAAUCAUUAGUUUUUUAAUUGAAAGCUUGUAUGAAAGGUUGAAUGAGAAAAUUACUGUCUUAAUUUAAAUUUAAUUGAAUUUUAUUUUUUAGUUAAAAAGCUAAAAUAUUUAUAGAAGACGAGAAGACCCUAUAGAGUUUUAUAAUUUUAUAGAUAUAAUUUUUAGUAUUUUAAUUUAUAUUUUUAAAAAUUAUUUUAUUGGGGUGAUAGAAAAAUUUAAAAAACUUUUUUUUUUAUUUUUACAUUUAUUUGUGAAUUAUUGAUCCUUAUUUUAAGAUUAAAAGAUUAAAUUACCUUAGGGAUAACAGCGUAAUUUUUUUUUAGAGUUCUAAUCGAAAGAAAAGAUUGCGACCUCGAUGUUGGAUUAAAAUUAAUUUUUGGUGUAGAAGCUAAAAUAUUAGGUCUGUUCGACCUUUAAAAUUUUACAUGAUCUGAGUUUAAACCGGUGUGAGCCAGGUUGGUUUCUAUCUCUAUAAAAUUGUAAUAUUUUAGUACGAAAGGACCAAAUAUUAAAAUUAUAUUUUUAAUUUAUGAAUAAUAAAAAUUU